RNAcentral lists this long non-coding RNA (209 nucleotides) under Gossypium barbadense (sea-island cotton). RNAcentral's name for it is "long non-coding RNA (GBAR_LNC022268)". The record is from RNAcentral. Lineage: Eukaryota; Viridiplantae; Streptophyta; Magnoliopsida; Malvales; Malvaceae.
AGAAGAAGAAAGUUUUGAUGAGGUGGAAGAGGAUGAUGAGAUGGAUUUUUAGGAGAAUGGCUGAACUUUUUUAAUUUUUUUUUUGUUUUUAAAAGAUUGUAUUAAAAUUUGGAAUGAUUUUGAAUUGAUUUUAAUUGUUAGGAGUAGGAGUAAUAAUAUAUUAUUAGUUGUUUUGUUUAAAUUUCCUAUCUAGGAAUCCUACAUGGAAG